RNAcentral lists this long non-coding RNA (203 nucleotides) under Carica papaya (papaya). Its description in RNAcentral is "long non-coding RNA (CPAP_LNC015345)". Lineage: Eukaryota; Viridiplantae; Streptophyta; Magnoliopsida; Brassicales; Caricaceae. The record is from RNAcentral.
CGAAUCUCCAACAGAUUUUUUCUGUCCUACCCGCAACUCACUAUCUUCCACUUUUUGCGGCACUGCCCCAUAGGUACGAGCACCAUUGAAUUCCAUUGAAACGUUGAUUGGGGUAUUGCAGUGUGGACAGUGAUAAGAAGCUUUCCACGGGCGAUUCUUCUGAAUCAUAUUUUUCUUGGACAGCUCCCUAUUAUUCCUUUCGC